Molecule: non-coding RNA, 2078 nt
Organism: Ictidomys tridecemlineatus (thirteen-lined ground squirrel)
Lineage: Eukaryota; Metazoa; Chordata; Mammalia; Rodentia; Sciuridae
Source: RefSeq, a predicted model, not a curated record
UGGCCCCUGGGGAGCCAGCCCCACCUCCAGGACUGGCCACCCUAAGCAGCAGCCCAGCACUGUGGGAAGGGACAGUGGCCCUGCCGCAGGAGGAGGACCUUGUAAAGACACGUUUCAGCCAGGGCUUUGCAAACUGGGAGCACUGUGUGGUCACAUGUGUCCAGUCACUAAGGGCUGAGACCCACAUGUGCAAGGCCCAGGGGCACAGCCACGCGCCCGAGGCAGAGGUGGGUGUCCUCUACUGUCCCCUGCCAGAGCCCCUCCUCACACUUCCUGUCUGGAUCAGAGCCCUGGUCUGAAGCCCCAGGCUGCUGAGCAGAUGAUCCCUGUAGGCCCCAGGCAGUCUCCUCCACCCCUCCCUUCCUCAGGGCCGUGGACCAGCUCCGAGUGCCUGCGGGUGACCCGAAACUCCCUGUAGCCAUGACAGUGGGCCCAGCUCUUGGGAACCCAGUCUGGCCACCACAGCGCAUUCCCAGACCGUCCGACAGCUAACAGCACUUGGAUGAGUCAGAUGACCCGAGUGGCUGCUGGUUCUCAGCUCCCGGUCAGGCACCGCAGACUGCGCAGGAGGCACCCAGAAGGCGUAGGGUCUCGGCCCCCCAGCACGACGGCCAUCUGCUGACCCCCCGCGGUGUCUGGUCUGAUUUGGGACCUUGCAGCGCUCCUCCUGCUGAGGCAGCUUUUCUUCUGUCUCCUGGUGACCACUGAGCUCCCCCUCCAGGCUGCACGGGAAUCUCCUUCCUACGCUGCGUCUCCGCACACGCGAAGGAACAUUCCCCGGAACCCGUAGGAGAGGCGCGGACCCUCCACCCUGAGCCCUCACAGCCCGUGCUAAGGCAGGAGCAGGAGACCGUUCCCAUCUGGGAAGGGUGACACCUGCCUGUCCCUGCUCAGGCCCUUCUGUUGGGGGACGGUGCCACCCCUGAUUUGGGAGGGGGGCGUAAUCUCAGAGACACUGGCCAGGAGAGUCUUGGCCCAGGACCUGUCACGUGGUCUGGAAGUCAGAUUUGACAGGGAGGAGGGCAUCAGAACCGUGUCUGGGGACCACUCAGUGGUGACGUGCGGGCGCUGCGCAUCUGAGACCUCACGUCAGCAACUCUUUGGCCCUUAGUCCCGAAUCCCAUCCACCAGCCAGGUGAGUCCAGGGACGCCUUGCUGCUGAGACUCAGCCCUAAGCGGCAGGUGCCUGUCUGGUGCCCUGUGUCCCCGCCCAGUGCCACACAGAGCAGCUGACGGCAUCAGCCGAGGCAGAGCCCCGGGCCAUCACCUACACCGCAGGCCCUGGCCUCGGAGGAGCACCGACCUCUUUGGUGCAUGGUCCUCAGCUCUGCAGAGACCAAAGCCAUCACAGCCGACUGCCUGCCCCGGGAGGCACAGCCUCCUGAGACUCUCCGCCCCAGCUGCAGGGGCCUCCAAAGCCCACCCUGGGCUGGGCUCAAGGGUCCCGUCCCCACCUCCCCUCGGUCACAGCCUCGGGCAGUCGGGCUGGAGCCUCUUCCCCCAGGAUGCGGCUGCACCGGCCCCGCCCCCGCCCUCACUCCUGCCUCGUUCCCUGCCCUCCCGGCGUCCUCUGCCCUUGGCAUCUGGGCUGCCCAGGGGUCUCCUCAGAACUGCCCCCUGCCCCAGCCCUGCGUCCCGACAGCUGGCCCCACCCUGACCGUCUCCCCCAGCUGGCUCUCUGACCACGGCUGCAGGGCUCUGCUGGCCAAGCAACUCUGUGUCCUGGGUGCUCAGGCCCCUGCCUGUUAGAAACCCCUUCUCUGUUCCCACCCUGGGACCUGGGAUCUGGGAGGUGGGCUGUUGGAAGUGAUCAUGAAGCAAAUGUUCCAUUUGAUCCAAGAGUUGGAGCUGACAUCUUGCUGCGGGAGCCUAGAAGCAUCUGGUGUGAAGGACAUGCAGUCCUCUCCUGGCCCAGAAUCAUGAUGGUGACCCACUAUGAGGAGAUGCAAGUGUACAGAUGAGCAAGACAGGAGCAGUUCUCAUGGCUGAAUUUCAAAUAAAAUGAAAAGAAAAGAGCUUUUGAGGACACUCAAGCCCUUCAGUGUGCCUCCGCCGCUGGCCGUGACAGAGCCUGACUC